RNAcentral lists this ribosomal RNA (454 nucleotides) under uncultured organism. RNAcentral describes it as "partial 16S ribosomal RNA". It matches the Rfam family "Bacterial small subunit ribosomal RNA", at positions 334 to 797 of the family's 1533-position model. The record is from RNAcentral.
CACUCCUGCGGGAGGCAGCAGUGGGGAAUAUUGCACAAUGGGCGCAAGCCUGAUGCAGCGACGCCGCGUGGGGGAUGAAGGCCUUCGGGUUGUAAACUCCUUUCGCUAGGGACGAAGCUUUUUUGUGACGGUACCUAGAUAAGAAGCACCGGCUAACUACGUGCCAGCAGCCGCGGUAAUACGUAGGGUGCGAGCGUUGUCCGGAAUUACUGGGCGUAAAGGGCUCGUAGGUGGUUUGUCGCGUCGUCUGUGAAAUUCUGGGGCUUAACUCCGGGCGUGCAGGCGAUACGGGCAUAACUUGAGUGCUGUAGGGGUAACUGGAAUUCCUGGUGUAGCGGUGAAAUGCGCAGAUAUCAGGAGGAACACCGAUGGCGAAGGCAGGUUACUGGGCAGUUACUGACGCUGAGGAGCGAAAGCAUGGGUAGCGAACAGGAUUAGAAACCCCAGUAGUCCC